CAAGAAGUCAAGUGCUUCCUAAAUUAUCUUGCCAGCCCAAGGGUGCAAGGGAGUGCAAGAGGCGUUGGUCCUUUAAGGAAUCUAGAUCUCAAAAAGUGGGUGGAGCCAAGGAGAUGUGGACUGGAGCCAGAGGCUCAAAAGUCCUCUGUUCACUUCCGGCCCUCUCCAUGGUGCUGUAGCAACUAAUGUGUCAUUAACAUAUGAGAGUGCUGGAGGUGAAAUAGUUAAACAGGUUACCUAAUCAGAACCCAGGGGGGUGGAGUCAGAGGAACUAUAAAACCAGCUCUGGGAGGGGUGAAGGGGAAGUUAGUUGGGUGGGUGGUUGGAGUGGGAAUGAAUUGGGAUAGAGUCUGUGGGUAGGUUGAGUUAGUGUAGCGAAAUAAGCUGAGUCAGGAACAGUUAGGAGCUAGGAAGACAAGGAAAUAUCUGAGAGGUGGUUUAGUGAGUGAGAGCAGGUAGCGGAAGUUAUAGGUCUGGAUAGGCACCCCAUGAUUGUAAUGGACCAGUACCGUUUAUGAAACCACACGCUUGUUAAACUGCAAUAAAUAAACAGAAGUUUAUGUUCCAAUUUAACCCUGCCUGGACUCAGUAUUGUACCAGGUAGGGCCUGGGUGGCGGCAGCGAGAAACAAAGUGGUGGCACAGGGAUCAACAGACGGUGAAACGUCCGGGGACCCUGUGUGAUCACUACAACUAAGGAUGGAGUUUUCUGAAAAUCUCAAUGCCCAGCUUAUCUGCAUGGAUUUCCGCCCCCUAAUUCCCCAUUCACUCCUUAACGAGAAGCAAGGUGUCUUCCCCCCAUUUCAGCUAAAGAUACAAACAAUUGUUGCAUUUCAUACACAUUAUUACGGUAUCGUACAAAUAUUAUUCGCUCCAGAUUUCCUAAAGCAACCAGCACAUUAACAGCAGCAACAAAAAUGCGUGAGCAGCUGAGAGUUUGAUCCAGUUGGAACUGUCAAAUUCUGUGUAUGAAUCUAUUUAAAACUGAUGCCUGCCUCAUCCCUAAUGACAGCUGACUUACUUUGCCCCGUGGGAUCCUUAUGAAGCCAGAAAAUUUGAACACAAAUGUCUCUUGUUCCACAGUGUUCAGGAAAUUAGCUAAGCCACAUGUCCCAAACACCUUCUUAUUGGGGUCACGGAAAGCUUGGGGAAGGGAAUUCAACUUGUGGAAGGAGGUGUUUUUCUGCCUGUCUUCCCUGUUCUUCAGUGUCUCUUGCCUCCCAAAAAGCUUUUUCCAGAGAAUUGGGACCCUCUGUGUGUGGCAUGAGGGACUGCAGCUUGUUGAAGGAAUUGGUGGAAACUUAGAGAUGCCCCUCACCUUCGGAUCCAGUCUGCGUGCUGAAGAUGUAUGUACUAUAUCCUAUCCAUUUUGUUAAAUUUUCCCCGUCGUGGAGUAUGGAUGGUUACCCAAUUUUCUUUUCUGAUUUUCCUUUCAAAUUCCAAGACUCUCUUUCCCUCCAGAGUUUGAGCUGACAAGGCCCAGAGGUACAACUCAUUAACAUUUCAAAAACUUGUUCUCCACAGCCUUCCUUUGAUGUCUGCGGCGUCUUGAGAAAGGAGUCUUUAUGCCUAUCCUGACAUCCUUUGGCCUCUCCUGAGUUGGAAUGGAAGUCCUUAGAAAACUGUUAGUAGAUUCAUGUGUGUGUGGAGACAACUUGCAGCUCAGGAAAUGAGGUUUGUGGACAAGCCUGAGGGUCCUGUAUAUCCCAACAAUUUUAUUUGUAGAGCUUAACUACUGAAAGUUUGAUCUGGCAAGUCAUGUCCUGGUUUGCAACCCUAGGUGAAUAGGGGUUCUCCCCUGUACCUUUCCUUGACUUUAAUGUAAUUAGAAUUUGUUAAGUGCUGAUAAAUACAAUCGAAAACAUAGGCUCAAGGGUUUGUGUUCCUGGGUGAAUAAACAUUAUAAGCAGAAGAGGGAAAUAUAAUUGCUCAUUAUAACAUACUGCCUUAGAUCCAACCAACUCUCCACGGUGUGGGUUGCCACCGCCCAGGACAGUGCAGAGCAGGGUUGAGUAGAAGGAGGGAAAGGGCUGGAGUACACAUGGGCAUUCAACUGCCUAAUGGUGUCUGUGUCACCCAGGAGACCACAGCCACAGAGAUCAGAAAAGUCAUUCCGUUGUCUGUAGAGGUCACUUCGUGGUUCACACGAAAUGAAAGUGCACAGCUGUAUGGAGGCAACACCGGGUGUUGACAUUUUGUACCCCUAACAACUGUUAGAAUUCCUGCUCCAUUAUUGCAGUCAUGGGAUUGUUGUCUUUCACAUGAUUUGACUCCCCAGAGUGGGAAGUGACAGAGACAGGAUGUUUGUGUUACUGUGUUCCGUGAAGUGGGACUAUUGUCCUUUGUUUUUUUCUCUUUGCUGUCUGAUGCUAGAGAGAGAGAGGGAGCCAUGUUGCAGUGCUCCGUGUGUGUUUAUAUGUAAAUAAAGUAGAUUAGCCAAAAUGCUGAGUUGCUGAGGUCUGUUACGCAAAGCUGUGAAGACUCUGCAGAUCCGUAAGUGUGCCAAUGUCUGUUGGCAUCGGUAGCUGUGAUGUUCGGGCUGAAGAAAGCUUUUGAAGCUCCCGAACGAUCGACCAGGAGGGAGAGAACAUGCCAGUCGGGCAUGUGUCUCUGCAGGGUCCUACUUGUUUUUUUUUUUAAAUCAUAUUUAUUAAAGUUUCCAAAAAUAUAAAAAUACAAAGAAAAAAGACAAAAGAAAGAAGAUAUUUAAAACCCUUACUUUCAUUCCCUACUUUCUGGGACUCCCCCCUCCCCCCCCCACUUGUAUUCCCCUUUCCUUAAUUUGGUUCUACAAGCUCUCACUCCCAAUUUAAAGCUUAAUUUGUUUAACCCACUAUCCAGAUUGAAUUGUACAAAUCUUACCACCGUCCCACAUCAUUAACAGAAAAAGAAAAAGAUUUUCCCCAAGAUCCACCCCAGUUCCUUCCACAAAUUCCCUUUUUUUAAACACGUCCGAUCAAAGUAAAAUAACAUGCGUAAGUUAUGUAAAGAAAUAGAAAAUAAGAGAUAUAGAAAAGUUCAAAAAAUGGUUACACAGCCUUUGGAUUUCAAUUCUCCCCCUUCCCGGUUUGAAUUCCCCAUGUCCAUCAGUCUAUACAUUAUCAGCUUGAAGUCUCAUUUCAUGACCAGAUUUCUCCCGAUUCCAUCUUGCCGGUUUUCUUUUAGUUUAUUAAUUUAAAUAAUAUUUGACUUCAAAUGUCCAAUCUAACAAAGGCCUUUAAUUUCCUUGAUCUUUACCACUCCUCCCGUUGUUCUUUCCGUGUCGUAAUCAGUCCUUUAUUCUUCUUAUUCCUCACUUUCUCAGGUUUCUUGUCCUGUUCAGCUGCUAAAACUUUCUAAUUCGAAAAUCUAGUGUCUCUGCAGAGGUUUGUUAUUCAGGAACAAAACUUACGUCCAGUCCCUUUCUUUCUUCAAUAAAAAUUCCAUUGUCUUCCUCUGUAGACAAAAUACUCUUUCAGUUUUGCAGCUUUCCCAGAAGAUAACAAAUCCUGUGCGAAUCCCAGGGUAUUUUUCCACUUACGACCGUUCUUGUAGUAUCCCAAAACCCCUCUAGGGGGAUUGUAAUAACUUUGUAUCCUCUAAUCCAAAAGUCAAAUUGUUGCUUAUUUUAGUUUAUAACCAUAUUAUAGCAAAUUGUAACAAAAUUAACCAGCAAGGUCCUCAUAACAAAGUCCUCUUUAUAUUCUCCAGCUUUGACAGCCACUUUGACAGCUGUCAAAGUCUCCGUCUCUCUUCACCAGGCUCCACGAAUCGCCCCGGUUCCCAGGGGGGGGGUUGCAUUUUCUUCUCACCCUCCACUCUUCUCCUCCAGCACAUUUCUUAUAAUUUCCCAUCGUGAAAUUAAUGAUUUUUAUCAGAGACAUACUUCCCUUUGGACCUUGGUUACCCAGUCCUUGUUUUGGAAUGCUUACAAUAGGGGGGGGGGAUUGACUUCCUUUGUAAUUCGCCCGCUCGUGCCAAAUCCAAAAUUUUGAACCCGGUUUCCCAAUUACUCACGGGUUGUUGUUAAUAGUCCAAAUUUUCAAUAGAAGAAGUCAGCGCUCUCCGUCGAAUGGCAUGCGGCUGCGCUCGACAGGAAAGCAGUGGACUCAAGCACCACGCCACUCCCUGGCACCCGAUCCGAAGCCUUUAAAAGGCUCCUUCACGAGUCGGGAGGGCGCUAAUGGUGCAAGCCGAGUCACCCAUGUCCACGGACUCCGUGCCCGUGGUUUUUAAGGGUCCCCGCGUCGCCGGCGCGGUAGGACCCAGCCCCUGCCGAGCAGACUCCCUCCGGAGCUCGGAGGGAGUCCGCCAUUCGGCGAUGGCGCUAACCCGGAAGUGCAUCCUGCAGGGUCCUACUUGAGUGUAGGCUGAGCUCCUGACAACAACUACCCCUCUGGCCCCUCCCAGCUACAUCACUGGCUCUCCACAAAUGAAAGGGCUUCUUCCUUUUGUGGAAGGAAUUGGGAUCUGGUGGAGGCUUCUGCUGGUAGUAUACAAGGAACAUUUUUUCACUGAUCUUCCCUCCCCCUGCGCCGCCUCUUUUGCUGCCCCAGAGAGUUACCCAACCCUCUGGAACAGAUUUUCGAGUAGUAAAAGGGCUGCAGGGGGAAGAGGAGAUUCAUUAAAAUGACUCCCCAUUUCAGUGGCAGCAGCAUACCAGUAAGUCAAACUCCAUUCAUAGGAUGCUCCCACCAGCAGAACCUUAAUUAGGAUCUGAACUUAUGUUUUCUGGGUGAGCAAUACAGAUAGAAUUCUGUACAUCAAGGCCAAACUAGAUGUGGUACAGAAUAGCUAUGAUAAGAUUCUCCUGCUUUUCCAUUUACUAAUUAGAAACCCCAAGCAGGAAAUUUUGGGUGGUUGGGGGCAGGAUUCAGUUAUGUUCUGCUCACAUUUUAAUGCAAACCUACCCUGUUUGCACUUCCUGAAAUGAUAUGUGAAACGAAACACAGACAUCCUCCAAGGGUGUAUAAUUAUUAUAUAUAUGUGUGUGUGUGUGAACAAAUAAUACAAAAACACGUUAUAUGAGGGAGGAAAUGCUUACCAAAUUUUGCAUAUUAGGAAUUUUCAUGAGGACUUUCUUUUCUUUCUUUCUUUUUAAAGGCAAACUGAUGCGGAGCUGAUUUUGUGGGUGGCAUUCAAUUGAAUUAAAUUGUGCAAGCAAAACAAUGCCUGCGUGUGCAACAGGACAUUCCCCCUUCCCCCUGUGCAACAUCCCUCCCCCGAAAAAAAUAUGUCCUAGGUAUCCUCCCAACCCUCUGGAGCAGGGACAGUGUGGGGUGUACACAAGGGGAGGAGACAGGGCGGGGAAGUCCCAUUGCACAAAGAGAAGUCGUUCUACUUGGGCAAUUAUUUAGCUGAAUGCUAUGCUGCCCUAAGAUUGGAAAAAUGAGAAAGACCUAAAUUGACAGGUUCAUCCAACCCUAGGCUGCUUUGAAGCUUGGAACAGUGGCACUCUGGGGGAGGGAGGUCAACCCUUUCUUCUAGAAAUUUUCUAGAAACUGCUCUUUUCCAGAAACUUUUCCAGAAACUGCUCGAGGGGUCAGGGUAGAGUGGGGGUUAGGUACAGGUGUUGUACAUGACAGCACUGUUAAUAGAAGGCACAGGGAGUGAUUAACAGAUGCUUCAGGGAGAGGGCAAGAUGAUAAGGUCCAGCUGUCUCUCUGAAUGGAUCCCUUCCCCAGUCUUCAAAGCAGCCCCUAGGGCUACUAAUUACAAAAUGAAAGGGAGCUGGUGGCGCUGUGGUCUAAACCACUGAGCCUCUUGGGCUUGCCGAUCAGAAGAUCAGCGGUUCAAAUCUCUGCGACGGAGUGAGCUCCCAUUGCUCUGUCCCAGCUCCUGCCAACCUAGCAGUUCAAAAGCACAGCAGUGCAAAUAGAUAGGUAGGUACCACUGUGGCAGGGAGGUAAAUGUCGUUUCCGUGCACUCUGGUUUCCAUCACAGUGUCCCGUUGUGCCAGAAGCAGUUUAGUCAUGCUGGCCACAUGACCUGGAAAGCUGUCUGUGGACAAACGCCAGCUCCCUUGGCCUGAAAGUGAGAUGAGCGCCACAGCCCCAUAGUCACAUUUGACUGGACUCAACCGUCCAGGAGUCCUUUACCUACUAAAUGGAAAAACCUGAAUUAGAUCCUAAUCUCUGAACUCCCACAUCCCACCUUGUUUAGAAGAAGAAGAGUUUGGAUUUGAUAUCCCGCUUUAUCACUACCCAAAGGAGUCUCAAAGCGGCUAACAUUCUCCUUUCCCUUCCUCCCC
Molecule: long non-coding RNA, 6228 nt
Filed under: Podarcis lilfordi (Lilford's wall lizard)
Lineage: Eukaryota; Metazoa; Chordata; Lepidosauria; Squamata; Lacertidae
Source: RNAcentral